CCUUACCCACCUUUGACAUGGCAGGAAGUUACCAGAGAUGGUUUCGUGCUCGAAAGAGAACCUGCACACAGGUGCUGCAUGGCUGUCGUCAGCUCGUGUCGUGAGAUGUUGGGUUAAGUCCCGCAACGAGCGCAACCCUUGCCAUUAGUUGCUACGAAAGGGCACUCUAAUGGGACUGCCGGUGACAAACCGGAGGAAGGUGGGGAUGACGUCAAGUCCUCAUGGCCCUUAUAGGUGGGGCUACACACGUCAUACAAUGGCCGGUACAAAGGGUCGCAAACCCGCGAGGGGGAGCCAAUCCAUCAAAGCCGGUCGUAGUCCGGAUCGCAGUCUGCAACUCGACUGCGUGAAGUCGGAAUCGCUAGUAAUCGUGGAUCAGCAUGUCACGGUGAAUACGUUCCCGGGUCUUGUACACACCGCCCGUCACACCAUGGGAGCGGGUCUCGCCAGAAGUAGUUAGCCUAACCGCAAGGAGGGCGAUUACCACGGCGGGGUUCGUGACUGGGGUGA
RNAcentral lists this ribosomal RNA (510 nucleotides) under uncultured bacterium. RNAcentral describes it as "bacterial SSU rRNA". It matches the Rfam family "Bacterial small subunit ribosomal RNA", at positions 969 to 1483 of the family's 1533-position model. The record is from RNAcentral.